CAUGUUCCCCAUGUUCCAGGAGCUUGCACCGACAACCCAGAUGACAAGUGUGGUCACCACUAUGCGAUUUGCCUUGACCUGAAGAAGCAACGAUUUGAGGUUCUUGAUUCAUUGCGUUCAGAAGCUGAUGAAGACCUUACUACACAUGCUGAAUUCUUUAUCAACAACCUGAAAGAGACAUGGAACCAUCACUACGAAAACUCAAAGGUCCAGAUCAGUCAUUUUCCAAUCGAGUAUGUCGCGACUACAAAACAAGGAAACCGGAAUGACUGUGGCUUUCACAAUUUGGAAUACCUUGCAAAGUGGGAAGGUCGACGGGUCCCUGUCGUCACAGCUACAAUGGUCGUCGAGCUUCGUAAAAUAUACACAUGGAUCUGGUUGAUGAAUGAAGAUGUCAACACACGGGCCAACGCACGAGAGUUCAUAGAGGAAGCU
RNAcentral lists this ribosomal RNA (435 nucleotides) under Triticum aestivum (bread wheat). RNAcentral's name for it is "partial small subunit ribosomal RNA". Lineage: Eukaryota; Viridiplantae; Streptophyta; Magnoliopsida; Poales; Poaceae. The record is from RNAcentral.